GAACCGUCCAAACGUUUAUUCGGAAUCAUUGGGCUUAAAGGGUGCGUAGGCGGUGUGGUCAGUUGGGUGUGAAAUCCCUCGGCUCAACCGAGGAACUGCGCCCAAUACUGCCACACUCGAGGGAGACAGAGGUAAGCGGAACUGAUGGUGGAGCGGUGAAAUGCGUUGAUAUCAUCAGGAACACCAGUGGCGAAGGCGGCUUACUGGGUCUCUUCUGACGCUGAGGCACGAAAGCUAGGGGAGCGAACGGGGGAUUAGAUACCCCGGUAGUCCUAGCUGUAAACGAUGAGCACUUAAUCGGAGACUCCGCCAUAGGUUUCCGGUCGUAGCGAAAGUGUUAAGUGCUCGCCUGGGGAGUAUGGUCGCAAGGCUG
This 373-nucleotide ribosomal RNA is filed under the name uncultured organism. Its description in RNAcentral is "partial 16S ribosomal RNA". It matches the Rfam family "Bacterial small subunit ribosomal RNA", at positions 527 to 896 of the family's 1533-position model. The record is from RNAcentral.